AGUGAACGCUGGCGGCGUGCUUAACACAUGCAAGUCGAACGAGAACGGAAUAUAGCUUGCUAUAUUUGUCAGCUAAGUGGCGCACGGGUGAGUAAUGUAUAGAUAACCUGCCCUUAAGAAAGGAAUAACAGUUGGAAACGACUGCUAAUGCCCUAUAUGCCUUUAAUACAUAAGUAUGCAAGGGAAACGCUUUAGUGCUUAAGGAUGGGUCUGUAUGGUAUCAGCUUGUUGGUGAGGUAAUGGCUCACCAAGGCUAUGACGCCUAACUGGUUUGAGAGGAUGAUCAGUCACACUGGAACUGAGACACGGUCCAGACUCCUACGGGGGGCAGCAGUGGGGAAUAUUGCACAAUGGACGAAAGUCUGAUGCAGCAACGCCGCGUGGAGGAUGACACAUUUCGGUGCGUAAACUCCUUUUAUAUAGGGAGAUAAUGACGGUACUAUAUGAAUAAGCACCGGCUAACUCCGUGCCAGCAGCCGCCGUAA
This 485-nucleotide ribosomal RNA is filed under the name uncultured bacterium. Its description in RNAcentral is "partial 16S ribosomal RNA". It matches the Rfam family "Bacterial small subunit ribosomal RNA", at positions 29 to 523 of the family's 1533-position model. The record is from RNAcentral.